Molecule: ribosomal RNA, 448 nt
Filed under: Lutzomyia nunez-tovari
Lineage: Eukaryota; Metazoa; Arthropoda; Insecta; Diptera; Psychodidae
Description: eukaryotic LSU rRNA
Rfam family: Eukaryotic large subunit ribosomal RNA
Source: RNAcentral
GUCCCUAUCUACUAUCUAGCGAAACCACAGCCAAGGGAACGGGCUUGGAAUCAUUAGCGGGGAAAGAAGACCCUGUUGAGCUUGACUCUAGUUUGGCACUGUAAGAAGACAUAAGAGGUGUAGCAUAAGUGGGAGAUAGGCUUGCUUAUCAACAAUGAAAUACCACUACUUUUAUCGUUUUCUUACUUACUUGAUUAAAUGGAGAAUGCACUUUCAUUCAUACCACUUGUGCAUCGAUUUAUCUUUGUACCUGUGACUAUAUGAUCUUGUGCACUUUUCUUGACCCAAGUGUCAUGAACCGUUGGUACGUUCGUACAAUUGAUGUGUCGCUGGGGAGCAAUCUUUGGUGCAUUGAUUUGGAGUAUUAACAUUAUGGUUAAGACACAAUCCAAGUCAGGGACACUGCCAGGUGGGGAGUUUGACUGGGGCGGUACAUCUCUAAAUAAUA